This 253-nucleotide ribosomal RNA is filed under the name uncultured bacterium. RNAcentral describes it as "partial 16S ribosomal RNA". It matches the Rfam family "Bacterial small subunit ribosomal RNA", at positions 524 to 776 of the family's 1533-position model. The record is from RNAcentral.
UACGGAGGGUGCAAGCGUUAUCCGGAUUUACUGGGCGUAAAGGGCGCGUAGGCGGCAUGACAAGUCACUUGUGAAAUCUCCGGGCUUAACUCGGAACGGCCAAGUGAAACUGUCAAGCUAGAGUGCGGAAGGGGCAAUCGGAAUUCUUGGUGUAGCGGUGAAAUGCGUAGAUAUCAAGAGGAACACCUGAGGUGAAGACGGGUUGCUGGGCCGACACUGACGCUGAUGCGCGAAAGCCAGGGGAGCAAACGGG